Molecule: ribosomal RNA, 537 nt
Filed under: uncultured bacterium
Lineage: Bacteria
Description: bacterial SSU rRNA
Rfam family: Bacterial small subunit ribosomal RNA
Source: RNAcentral
GUGCCAGCAGGCCGCGGUAAUACGGAGGGUGCAAGCGUUAAUCGGAAUUACUGGGCGUAAAGCGCACGCAGGCGGCUUUUUAAGUCGGAUGUGAAAGCCCCGGGCUCAACCUGGGAAUUGCAUCUGAUACUGGGAGGCUAGAGUAUGUGAGAGGGGGGUAGAAUUCCAAGUGUAGCGGUGAAAUGCGUAGAGAUUUGGAGGAAUACCAGUGGCGAAGGCGGCCCCCUGGCACAAUACUGACGCUCAGGUGCGAAAGCGUGGGGAGCAAACAGGAUUAGAUACCCUGGUAGUCCACGCCGUAAACGAUGUCUACUAGAUGUUCGUGGUCUUGUACUGUGAGUAUCGCAGCUAACGCAUUAAGUAGACCGCCUGGGGAGUACGGUCGCCCCAUUAAAACUCAAAUGAAUUGACGGGGGCCCGCACAAGCGGUGGAGCAUGUGGUUUAAUUCGACGCAACGCGAAGAACCUUACCUACUCUUGACAUCUACAGAAGAACGCAGAGAUGUGUUUGUGCCUUCGGGAACUGUAAGACAGGUG